Molecule: transfer RNA, 72 nt
Filed under: Solirubrobacterales bacterium
Lineage: Bacteria; Bacillati; Actinomycetota; Thermoleophilia; Solirubrobacterales
Also listed under: 1 other name
Description: tRNA-Val
Rfam family: tRNA
About the family: Transfer RNA (tRNA) molecules are approximately 80 nucleotides in length. Their secondary structure includes four short double-helical elements and three loops (D, anti-codon, and T loops).
Source: RNAcentral
GGGCGCGUAGCUCAGCGGGAGAGCGCUCGCUUCACACGCGAGAGGUCGCAGGUUCGAACCCUGCCGCGCCCA